UACGGAAGGCAGCAGUGGGGAAUAUUGCACAAUGGGCGAAAGCCUGAUGCAGCUAUGCCGCGUGUAUGAAGAAGGCCUUAGGGUUGUAAAGUACUUUCAUCGGGGAGGAAAAACAAAACUAAUAAUUUUAUUUCUUGACGUUACCCGAAAAAGAAGCACCGGCUAACUCCGUGCCAGCAGCCGCGGUAAUACGGAGGGUGCUAGCGUUAAUCAGAAUUACUGGGCGUAAAGAGCACGUAGGUGGUUUUUUUAAAGUCAGAUGUGAAAUCCCUGGGCUUAACCUAGGAACUGCAUUUUGAAACUGAAAUACUAGAGUAUCGUAGAGGGAGGUAGAAUUCUAGGUGUAAGCGGUGAAAUGCGUAGAUAUCUGGAGGAAUACCUGUGGCGAAAGCGGCCUCCUAAACGAAUACUGACACUGAGGUGCGAAAGCUGGGGGAGCAAACAGGGAUUAGAUAACC
This 458-nucleotide ribosomal RNA is filed under the name uncultured bacterium. RNAcentral describes it as "bacterial SSU rRNA". It matches the Rfam family "Bacterial small subunit ribosomal RNA", at positions 340 to 787 of the family's 1533-position model. The record is from RNAcentral.